RNAcentral lists this transfer RNA (72 nucleotides) under Perkinsus olseni. Its description in RNAcentral is "tRNA-Glu". Lineage: Eukaryota; Perkinsozoa; Perkinsida; Perkinsidae. The record is from RNAcentral.
GCCCUGCUGGCCCAAUGGAUAAGGCGCCCCCUCUCAAGGCGGAGGUUCUGCGAUCGAUCCCCGGGUAGGGUA